GUGUACUCGGUCCUUUUGCAUGAUGCAUCGACUGUGCUGUGCUUUCACCAGAAGUCAACAGGAGAGUCCAGUCAUCUCGCAAAACAACCUUCCCAGCAGUUCGAUCUUCUGUUACGUUAUCGACAUGGUCUGUUAUCAUAUGCCAAUUGGUGGACACCUGUAUGAGCCAGAUGGAGGAUGAUGGCUGUGUUUGCGCUUCAGGCAGAAUGUCUCAGUAAUGAGUGUGAAUCUGCCAUGGCAGUAUAAUUACUUGAGAAAAUGGGUCUGCGAGAAACUCCAACAUGAGGACAGCUACCAUCUUAGCUGUAACGGACACUGUUGAGCAGUCUUGGGCCGAAAUUGUUACUUUGCAGAAACAAGACACUGCAAACACCUGAUGGCAGAUGUGGAACUUUUUUUCUUCUCCCAGAUGACAAACGUGCACUUUGUCAUUUCAACAUGGCAUCAUGACUUUGCGUAAACAUG
Perca flavescens (yellow perch) is the source of this 465-nucleotide long non-coding RNA. RefSeq lists it as uncharacterized. The transcript has 4 exons. The record is from RefSeq and is a predicted model, not a curated record. NCBI's taxonomy places the organism in Eukaryota, Metazoa, Chordata, Actinopteri, Perciformes, Percidae.